GUGCCUAAUACAUGCAAGUCGAGCGCACUGGCCCAACUGAUAUGACGUGCUUGCACUGAUUUGACGAUGGAUUACCAGUGAGCGGCGGACGGGUGAGUAACACGUGGGCAACCUGCCCUAAAGCGGGGGAUAACAUUUGGAAACAGGUGCUAAUNCCGCAUAACUACGAAAACCACAUGGUUUUCGUAUCAAAGAUGGUUUCGGCUAUCACUUUAGGAUGGACCCGCGGUGCAUUAGCUAGUUGGUAGGGUAACGGCCUACCAAGGCAAUGAUGCAUAGCCGAGUUGAGAGACUGAUCGGCCACAAUGGAACUGAGACACGGUCCAUACUCCUACGGGAGGCAGCAGUAGGGAAUCUUCCACAAUGGGCGCAAGCCUGAUGGAGCAACACCGCGUGAGUGAAGAAGGGUUUCGGCUCGUAAAACUCUGUUGUUGAAGAAGAACGUGCAUGAGAGUAACUGUUCAUGCAGUGACGGUAUUCAACCAGAAAGUCACGGCUAACUAC
Molecule: ribosomal RNA, 504 nt
Filed under: uncultured bacterium
Lineage: Bacteria
Description: bacterial SSU rRNA
Rfam family: Bacterial small subunit ribosomal RNA
Source: RNAcentral